This 214-nucleotide ribosomal RNA is filed under the name uncultured bacterium. RNAcentral describes it as "partial 16S ribosomal RNA". It matches the Rfam family "Bacterial small subunit ribosomal RNA", at positions 120 to 334 of the family's 1533-position model. The record is from RNAcentral.
AGUAACCUGCCUUUCAGAGGGGGACAACAGUUGGAAACGACUGCUAAUACCGCAUAAUAUAUAUGGACCGCAUGAUCUGUAUAUCAAAGAUUUAUCGCUGAAAGAUGGACUCGCGUCUGAUUAGCUAGUUGGUGAGGUAGCGGCCCACCAAGGCGACGAUCAGUAGCCGGACUGAGAGGUUGAACGGCCACAUUGGGACUGAGAUACGGCCCAG